RNAcentral lists this unclassified non-coding RNA (240 nucleotides) under plant metagenome. RNAcentral's name for it is "partial contains small subunit ribosomal RNA, internal transcribed spacer 1, and 5.8S ribosomal RNA". The stretch from base 192 to 240 matches the Rfam family "5.8S ribosomal RNA", at positions 1 to 49 of the family's 154-position model. The record is from RNAcentral.
UUUCCGUAGGUGAACCUGCGGAAGGAUCAUUACAGAGUUCAUGCCCUCACGGGUAGAUCUCCCACCCUUGAAUAUUUAUACCUUAGUUGCUUUGGCAGGCCGUGGAAACACCAUGGGCUCCGGCUUAUGCGUGCCUGCCAGAGGAAACAAACUCUGUUUUUAGUGAUGUCUGAGUACUAUAUAAUAGUUAAAACUUUCGACAACGGAUCUCUUGGUUCUGGCAUCGAUGUAGAACGCAGC